This 301-nucleotide ribosomal RNA is filed under the name uncultured bacterium. Its description in RNAcentral is "partial 16S ribosomal RNA". It matches the Rfam family "Bacterial small subunit ribosomal RNA", at positions 509 to 808 of the family's 1533-position model. The record is from RNAcentral.
CAGUAGCCGCGGUAAUACGGAGGGAGCGAGCGUUGUUCGGAAUUAUUGGGCGUAAAGGGCUCGCAGGCGGUUUCUUAAGUCUGAUGUGAAAGCCCCCGGCUUAACCGGGGAGGGUCAUUGGAAACUGGGAGACUUAGAGUGCAGAAGAGGAGAGUGGAAUUCCAUGUGUAGUGGUGAAAUGCGUAGAUAUAUGGAGGAACACCAGUGGCGAAGGCGACUCUCUGGUCCAUUAUUGACGCUGAGGUGCGAAAGCGUGGGGAGCAAACAGGAUUAGAUACCCCCGUAGUCCCUGUCUCUUAUA